AAUUUUGGACAAUGGGCGCAAGCCUGAUCCAGCCAUGCCGCGUGAGUGAAGAAGGCCUUCGGCUCGUAAAGCUCUUUCGGUCGGAAAGAACUCGCCCGGGCUAAUCCCCUGCGCGGAUGACGGUACCGUCCCAAGAAGCACCGGCUACCUACUUGCCAGCAGCCGCGGUAAUACGUAGGGUGCGAGCGUUAAUCGGAAUUCAUGGGCGUAAAGCGUGCGCAGACGGUAGAUUAAGACAGGCGUGAAAUCCCUGGGCUUAACCUGGGAACUGCGCUUGUGACUGGUCAGCUAGAGUACGGCAGAGGGGGGUGGAAUUCCACGUGUAGCAGUGAAAUGCGUAGAGAUGUGGAGGAACACCGAUGGCGAAGGCAGCCCCCUGGGCCGAUACUGACGCUCAUGCACGAAAGCGUGGGUAGCAAACAGG
This 424-nucleotide ribosomal RNA is filed under the name uncultured bacterium. RNAcentral's name for it is "partial 16S ribosomal RNA". It matches the Rfam family "Bacterial small subunit ribosomal RNA", at positions 360 to 776 of the family's 1533-position model. The record is from RNAcentral.